RNAcentral lists this ribosomal RNA (253 nucleotides) under uncultured bacterium. Its description in RNAcentral is "partial 16S ribosomal RNA". It matches the Rfam family "Bacterial small subunit ribosomal RNA", at positions 524 to 776 of the family's 1533-position model. The record is from RNAcentral.
UACGUAGGGGGCAAGCGUUAUCCGGAUUCACUGGGCGUAAAGGGAGCGCGGGCGGCAUGGCAAGUCUGAUGUGAAAACCCGGGGCCCAACCCCGGGAGUGCAUUGGAAACUGCCAGGCUGGAGUGUCGGAGGGGUAAGCGGAAUUCCUAGUGUAGCGGUGAAAUGCGUAGAUAUUAGGAGGAACACCAGUGGCGAAGGCGGCUUACUGGACGACUACUGACGCUGAGGCUCGAAAGCGUGGGGAGCAAACAGG